GACGUAGGGGCCGAGCGUUGUCCGGAGUUACUGGGCGUAAAGGGCCCGCAGGCGGCGGCCUUGGCCCGGCGUGAAAGCCCCCGGCCUAACCGGGGAAGGGCGUCGGGGACCGGGCCGCUUGAGGGCAGCAGGGGGUGGUGGAAUGCCCGGUGUAGUGGUGAAAUGCGUAGAGAUCGGGCGGAACACCCGUGGCGAAGGCGGCCACCUGGGCUGCACCUGACGCUGAGGGGCGAAGGCGUGGGGAGCGAACGGG
Molecule: unclassified non-coding RNA, 253 nt
Filed under: uncultured Thermomicrobiales bacterium
Lineage: Bacteria; Pseudomonadati; Thermomicrobiota; Thermomicrobia; Thermomicrobiales
Description: contains 16S-23S intergenic spacer region
Rfam family: Bacterial small subunit ribosomal RNA
Source: RNAcentral